Molecule: ribosomal RNA, 253 nt
Filed under: uncultured bacterium
Lineage: Bacteria
Description: partial 16S ribosomal RNA
Rfam family: Bacterial small subunit ribosomal RNA
Source: RNAcentral
GACAGAGGUGCCGAGCGUUAGGCGGAAUCACUGGGCUUAAAGCGUGUGUAGGCGGGCGGGCAAGUACCUUGUGAAAUCCCACGGCUCAACCGUGGAACGGCUGGGUAUACUGGGAGUCUUGAGCCACCUAGGGGCGAGUGGAACAAAUGGUGGAGCGGUGAAAUGCGUAGAUAUCAUUUGGAACGCCAAUGGUGAAAACAACUCGCUGGGGGUGUGCUGACGCUGAGACACGAAAGCCAGGGGAGCGAACGGG